This 378-nucleotide ribosomal RNA is filed under the name uncultured Planctomycetota bacterium. Its description in RNAcentral is "bacterial SSU rRNA". It matches the Rfam family "Bacterial small subunit ribosomal RNA", at positions 521 to 896 of the family's 1533-position model. The record is from RNAcentral. Lineage: Bacteria; Pseudomonadati; Planctomycetota.
UAAUACAGAGGUGGCGAGCGUUGUUCGGAGUUAUUGGGCGUAAAGAGCACGUAGGUGGAUUUGUAAGUCAGAUGUGAAAGCCUUCUGUUCAACGGAAGAAUUGCAUCUGAAACUGCAAACCUUGAGUAUAGGAGGGGAGAGUGGAACUUCUGGUGGAGCGGUGAAAUGCGUAGAUAUCAGAAGGAACGCCGGCGGCGAAAGCGACUCUCUGGCCUAUAACUGACACUGAGGUGCGAAAGCUAGGGGAGCAAACGGGAUUAGAUACCCCGGUAGUCCUAGCCGUAAACGAUGGGCACUAAGUAGGGGAAACUACCGAUGUUUUCUCUGCCGUAGCAAACGCAUUAAGUGCCCCGCCUGGGGAGUACGGCCGCAAGGCUA